Mytilus californianus (California mussel) is the source of this 1641-nucleotide long non-coding RNA. RefSeq lists it as uncharacterized. Lineage: Eukaryota; Metazoa; Mollusca; Bivalvia; Mytilida; Mytilidae. The record is from RefSeq and is a predicted model, not a curated record. The transcript is spliced from 3 exons.
UUGGUCCACAUUGAGGUCCAAAGGGUCCAACAUUAAACUUUGUUUGAUUUUAGCAAAAAUUGAAUAUAUGAGGUUCUUUGAUAUGCUGAAUCUAAACAUGUAUUUAGAUUUUUGAUUUUUGGCCCAGUUUUCAAGUUGGUCCAAAUUGGGGUCCAAAAUUAAACUUUGUUUGAUUUCAACAAAAAUUGAAUAUAUGGGGUUCUUUGAUAUGCUGAAUCUAACCAUGUAUUUAGAUUUUUUAUUUGUGGACCCUGUUAUCAAAUUGGUUCAUAUUGAGGUCAAAAGGGUCCAAAAUUAAACUUUGUUUGAUUUCAUCAAAAAUUGAAUUAUUGGGGUUCUUUGAUAUUCCAAAUCUAACCGUGUAUUUAGAUUUUUAAUUUUGGGUCCUGUUUUUUAAAUUGGUCUACAUUAAGAUCCAAAGGGUCCAAAAUUAAACUUAGUUUGAUUUUAACAAAAAUUGAAUUCUUGGGGUUCUUUGAUAUGCUGAAUCUAAACAUGUGUUUAGAUUUUUGAUUAUGGGCCCAGUUUUCAAGUUGGUCCAAGAUAGGGUCCAGUAUUUAAACUUUGUUUGAUUUCAACAAAAAUUGAAUAUAUGAGGUUCUUUGAUAUGCUGAAUCUAAACAUGUAUUUAGAUUUUUGAUUAUGGGCCCAGUUUUCAAGUUGGUCCAAAUUGGGGUCCAAAAUUAACUUUGUUUGAUUUCAACAAAAAUUGAAUAUAUGCGGUUCUUUGAUAUGCUGAAUCUAACCAUGUAUUUAGAUUUUUUAUUUGUGGGCCCCGCUAUCAAAUUGGUUCAUAUUGAGGUCAAAAGGGUCCAAAAUUAAACUGUGUUUGAUUUCAUCAAAAAUUGAAUUAUUGGGGUUCUUUGAUAUGCCAAAUCUUACCGUGUUUUUAGAUUUUUAAUUUGGGUCCCGUUUUUUAAAUUGGUCUUCAUUGAGGUCCAAAGGGUCCAAAAUUAAACUUAGUUUGAUUUUAGCAAAAAUUGAAUUCUUGGGGUUCUUUGAUAUGCUGAAUCUAAACAUGUGUUUAGAUUUUUGAUUAUGGGCCCAGUUUUCAAGUUUGUCCAAGUUGGGGUCCAAAAUUAAACUUUGUUUGAUUUCAACAAAAAUUGAAUAUAUGGGGUUCUUUGAUAUGCUGAAUCUAACCAUGAAUUUAGAUUUUUUAUUUGUGGGCCCGCUAUCAAAUUGGUUCAUAUUGAGGUCAAAAGGGUCCAAAAUUAAACUUUGUUUGAUUUCAUCAAAAAUUGAAUUAUUGGGGUUCUUUGAUAUUCCAAAUCUAACCGUGUAUUUAGAUUUUUAAUUUUAAGUCCCGUUUUUUAAAUUGGUCUACAUUAAGGUCCAAAGGGUCCAAAAUUAAACUUAGUUUGAUUUUAGCAAAAAUUGAAUUCUUGGGGUUCUUUGAUAUGCUGAAUCUAAACAUGUGUUCAGAUUUUUGAUUAUGGGCCCAGUUUUCAAGUUUGUCCAAGUUGGGGUCCAAAAUUAAACUUUGUUUGAUUUUAACAAAAAUUGAAUAUAUGCGGUUCUUUGAUAUGCUGAAUCUAACCAUGUAUUUUGAUUUUGGACAUUGGACCAUAAUAGGUAAAUUAAAAAAAUUCAAGUUCUUAGACUCCAUUCUUUCUGUGUCAGAAACCUAUGCUGUGUCAA